CACCUUUCAUCUUUUCCUAAAAGACAGAACCCUACUCAUUUCCUCUUUCCUUUUUCAAUACCUUAUACACGAACCUUUACUCAUCUUUGAGCUUAUGGCUUUCCUCUUUCUACUUCAAUACCUUUUAGUCGAACCUAUCUCCACUUGCUGCUUCUCCCUAAAUCAGUCAAGCUCUUCUCUUACACACACUCAAGUACAGUGGCAUAGAUUGGCCUCUUCUCGCCUCACACAGUUCAAAGUUCAGAUGUUUGGGUGGUAAUCAUUGACUUCCUAUUCUCGAUUAUCUAGUCCCUCUUUUGAUGUAUUGAUUAUUUAAGUAAGUUUUAUUGAUUAUACGUUUGUUUCGGCUUGAAUUAAUCUAAUUUAUAUAUGUUUAUGAGUAUCGAUUCUCAAUUUUGACAGGAAUAUUGAAUAUGUAUGCUUAGUACGCAUAAGCUAAUUGGUUGUUGAAGUUGAUUUAUGCUUUGAUUAACUUCAUAGUUAAGUAUAUAUGUACUGAAGGUAUUAAGUUAGACGAAUCAAUUACUGAUAGUCAGUGUCUCUUUCUGCUGGUUUAAGUUUGUUUUUACUGUUAGAAUCUUUUAACUUUUCUUUGUUAUCUAACCACUUCUCUCAUUCUAAUGGAUUGAUAUCAGGAGUUCAUAGCCUUUUCUCUUAAACUUUCUCUAUUGCUUUCAACGUUUGGAUCGGUAGACACUUUGAUUGUCUAUUUUUUUGUUGCUAAUUUUUUUUGCAACACUUUCAAUAUAUUGGCGAUUUUCUUGCAAGAGUAAUUUGGAGUAACUUUAUAUUAAUAACAAUUAUUUUCUUAUGUAUUAUUUUCAAAUGAAAUAAUAUUUAUUCUUAACUC
This is a long non-coding RNA of Humulus lupulus (European hop), 850 nucleotides long. RefSeq lists it as uncharacterized. The transcript has 2 exons. The record is from RefSeq and is a predicted model, not a curated record. NCBI's taxonomy places the organism in Eukaryota, Viridiplantae, Streptophyta, Magnoliopsida, Rosales, Cannabaceae.